RNAcentral lists this ribosomal RNA (443 nucleotides) under uncultured bacterium. Its description in RNAcentral is "partial 16S ribosomal RNA". It matches the Rfam family "Bacterial small subunit ribosomal RNA", at positions 338 to 795 of the family's 1533-position model. The record is from RNAcentral.
CCUACGGGGAGCAGCAGUGGGGAAUAUUGGGCAAUGGGCGCAAGCCUGACCCAGCAACGCCGCGUGAAGGAAGAAGGCUUUCGGGUUGUAAACUUCUUUUCUCAGGGACGAAGCAAGUGACGGUACCUGAGGAAUAAGCCACGGCUAACUACGUGCCAGCAGCCGCGGUAAUACGUAGGUGGCAAGCGUUAUCCGGAUUUACUGGGUGUAAAGGGCGUGUAGGCGGGAAAGCAAGUCAGAUGUGAAAACCAUGGGCUCAACCUGUGGCCUGCAUUUGAAACUGUUUUUCGUGAGUACUGGAGAGGCAGACGGAAUUCCUAGUGUAGCGGUGAAAUGCGUAGAGAUUAGGAGGAACACCAGUGGCGAAGGCGGUCUGCUGGACAGCAACUGACGCUGAGGCGCGAAAGCGUGGGGAGCAAACAGGAUUAGAUACCCGAGUAGUC